CCUACGGGAGGCAGCAGUGAGGAAUAUUGGUCAAUGGGCGGGAGCCUGAACCAGCCAAGCCGCGUGAGGGAAGAAGGUACAGCGUAUCGUAAACCUCUUUUGUCAGGGAACAAAGGCGGGGACUAGUCCCCGGAUGAGGGUACAUGAAGAAAAAGCAUCGGCUAACUCCGUGCCAGCAGCCGCGGUAAUACGGAGGAUGCGAGCGUUAUCCGGAUUUAUUGGGUUGAAAGGGUGCGCAGGCGGCCUGUUAAGUCAGCGGUAAAAGACCGGGGCUCAACCCCGGCGAGCCGUUGAAACUGGCGGGCUGGAGUUGGAGAGAAGUACGCGGAAUGCGCGGUGUAGCGGUGAAAUGCUUAGAUAUCGCGCAGAACCCCGAUUGCGAAGGCAGCAUACCGGCGGCGAUCUGACGCUGAGGCACGAAAGCGUGGGUAUCGAACAGGAUUAGAUACCCUGGUAGUC
Molecule: ribosomal RNA, 459 nt
Filed under: uncultured bacterium
Lineage: Bacteria
Description: partial 16S ribosomal RNA
Rfam family: Bacterial small subunit ribosomal RNA
Source: RNAcentral